AGAAUCAACGCUGGCGGCGUGCCUAACACAUGCAAGUCGAACGAGAAAGUGGAGCAAUCCAUUAGUAAAGUGGCGCACGGGUGAGUAACACGUGACUAACCUACCCUUGAGUGGGGGAUAACCUAGAGAAAUCUGGGCUAAUACCGCAUAAUACCUUCGGGUCAAAGGAGCAAUUCGCUUAAGGAGGGGUCGCGGCCGAUUAGUUAGUUGGCGGGGUAAUGGCCCACCAAGACUAUGAUCGGUAUCCGGCCUGAGAGGGCGCACGGACACACUGGAACUGAAACACGGUCCAGACUCCUACGGGAGGCAGCAGUGGGGAAUUUGCGCAAUGGGGGAAACCCUGACGCAGCAACGCCGCGUGGAGGAUGAAGCCCCUUGGGGCGUAAACUCCUUUCGAUCGGGACGAUAAUGACGGUACCGAGAGAAGAAGCCCCGGCUAACUUCGCGCCAGCAGCCG
Molecule: ribosomal RNA, 457 nt
Filed under: uncultured bacterium
Lineage: Bacteria
Description: SSU rRNA
Rfam family: Bacterial small subunit ribosomal RNA
Source: RNAcentral